RNAcentral lists this long non-coding RNA (694 nucleotides) under Fukomys damarensis (Damara mole-rat). Its description in RNAcentral is "lncRNA (ENSFDAG00000022509.1)". Lineage: Eukaryota; Metazoa; Chordata; Mammalia; Rodentia; Bathyergidae. The record is from RNAcentral.
GCGAGGGUCACAGGCUCCCCCUAGAGGCCAUCGAAGAUUCGACAGGAAGAAAAGACAUGCGCAGAGACCAAGACAGAAGAAAACACAUUUCCUGAUCUGACUGCUGCAGUUGCAUAAAUUGUGGACAGCGUUUUCCCAAUCCGUAUAAUUUUAUCUUUAUUCUGACUUCAACCAUGUCCAGCAGCGUGUGGUCACCUCUGCCUUUCCCACAAUCCCUUGCUGUCAGCAGGCUCCUCCCUGGCAGCUCUAGGCUUCAUACUGGCAUGGGCUGUUCCCACUGACCUGCUGCAGGUCAGACUGGGACUGUCCAGGGGAGAGGAGGACAAUGCCACGGUUCUGGCCAGUCUCCACUUCUUCCCUGGUUGUGUUCCAAUUCCAAGACUUCAUCUAUUGGAAGCUCCAUGUGGCUCCCUGCUCAGACACCUCCACUUCCUUACUGGUUCCAAAGACCUGCCUGCAGAUCCUGAAGGGAAGAAAGGAGAGCAGCCUUGCCGGCAGCAGGGCCUUAUCUGUGUAUGAAGUCUAAGCAGCGGGAGAUCCUGAAAGCAUCUGCUUUCAGGCAAAGAAAAGAAGAGUCAAGACAGUCUAGCUGCCCAGAUCACACAAAAUGUUUCGAUCGUUUUGACUAUGAAGUAAUUCCUUCCAAGACACAGCAAGGUGAAGCACCUACAUUGCCUGGCUUUCCCAAGAGGAC